UCGUAACAAGGUCUCCGUUGGUGAACCAGCGGAGGGAUCAUUACCGAGUUUACAACUCCCAAACCCCAAUGUGAACGUUACCAAUCUGUUGCCUCGGCGGGAUUCUCUGCCCCGGGCGCGUCGCAGCCCCGGAUCCCAUGGCGCCCGCCGGAGGACCAACUCAAACUCUUUUUUCUCUCCGUCGCGGCUUCCGUCGCGGCUCUGUUUUACCUUUGCUCUGAGCCUUUCUCGGCGACCCUAGCGGGCGUCUCGAAAAUGAAUCAAAACUUUCAACAACGGAUCUCUUGGUUCUGGCAUCGAUGAAGAACGCAGCGAAAUGCGAUAAGUAAUGUGAAUUGCAGAAUUCAGUGAAUCAUCGAAUCUUUGAACGCACAUUGCGCCCGCCAGUAUUCUGGCGGGCAUGCCUGUCCGAGCGUCAUUUCAACCCUCGAACCCCUCCGGGGGGUCGGCGUUGGGGAUCGGCCCCUCACCGGGCCGCCCCCGAAAUACAGUGGCGGUCUCGCCGCAGCCUCUCCUGCGCAGUAGUUUGCACACUCGCACCGGGAGCGCGGCGCGGCCACAGCCGUAAAACACCCCAAACUCUGAAAUGUUGACCUCGGAUCAGGUAGGAAUACCCGCUGAACUUAAGCAUAUCAAUAA
This 639-nucleotide unclassified non-coding RNA is filed under the name Trichoderma reesei. RNAcentral describes it as "sequence contains 18S rRNA gene, ITS1, 5.8S rRNA gene, ITS2, 28S rRNA gene". The stretch from base 265 to 418 matches the Rfam family "5.8S ribosomal RNA". Lineage: Eukaryota; Fungi; Ascomycota; Sordariomycetes; Hypocreales; Hypocreaceae. The record is from RNAcentral.